Molecule: ribosomal RNA, 465 nt
Filed under: uncultured bacterium
Lineage: Bacteria
Description: partial 16S ribosomal RNA
Rfam family: Bacterial small subunit ribosomal RNA
Source: RNAcentral
GACGAACGCUGGCGGCGUGCUUAACACAUGCAAGUCGAACGGAAAGGCCCUGCUUGCAGGGUACUCGAGUGGCGAACGGGUGAGUAACACGUGGGUGCUCUGCCCUGCACUUCGGGAUAAGCCUGGGAAACUGGGUCUAAUACCGGAUAGGAGCCAUUUUUUGUGUGAUGGUUGGAAAGUUUUUUCGGUGUAGGAUGAGCUCGCGGCCUAUCAGCUUGUUGGUGGGGUAAUGGCCUACCAAGGCGGCGACGGGUAGCCGGCCAGAGAGGGUGGACGGCCACAUUGGGACUGAGAGACGGCCCAGACUCCUACGGGAGGCAGCAGUGGGGAAGAUUGCACAAUGGGCGCAAGCCUGGUGCAGCGACGCCGCGUGGGGGAUGACGGCCUUCGGGUUGUAAACUCCUUUCGCUAGGGACGAAGCUUUUUGUGACGGUACCUAGAGAAGAAGCACCGGCUAACUACGUG